GAUGAACGCUGGCGGCGUGCCUAAUACAUGCAAGUCGAGCGAACAGACGAGGAGCUUGCUCCUCUGACGUUAGCGGCGGACGGGUGAGUAACACGUGGAUAACCUACCUAUAAGACUGGGAUAACUUCGGGAAACCGGAGCUAAUACCGGAUAAUAUAUUGAACCGCAUGGUUCAAUAGUGAAAGACGGUUUUGCUGUCACUUAUAGAUGGAUCCGCGCCGCAUUAGCUAGUUGGUAAGGUAACGGCUUACCAAGGCAACGAUGCGUAGCCGACCUGAGAGGGUGGUCGGCCACACUGGAACUUAGACACGGUCCCGACUCCUACGGGAGGCAGCAGUAGGGAAUCUUCCGCAAUGGGCGAAAGCCUGACGGAGCAACGCCGCGUGAGUGAUGAAGGUCUUCGGAUCGUAAAACUCUGUUAUUAGGGAAGAACAAAUGUGUAAGUAACUAUGCACGUCUUGACGGUACCUAAUCAGAAAGCCACGGCUAACUACGUG
This 497-nucleotide ribosomal RNA is filed under the name uncultured bacterium. RNAcentral describes it as "partial 16S ribosomal RNA". It matches the Rfam family "Bacterial small subunit ribosomal RNA", at positions 28 to 507 of the family's 1533-position model. The record is from RNAcentral.